GAUGAACGCUAGCGGCGGGCCUAAUACAUGCAAGUCGAACGGUGCAGCAAUGCAUAGUGGCAGACGGGUGCGUAACGCGUAUGCAACCUACCUUUUAUCGGGGGACAACAUUUCGAAAGAAGUGCUAAUACCGCGUAAGAUAGUAGUGGGACAUCCCACAGCUAUUAAACUUUCGGGGAUAGAAGAUGGGCAUGCGUCUGAUUAGCUAGUUGGCGGGGUAACGGCCCACCAAGGCGACGAUCAGUAGGGGAACUGAGAGGUUGAUCCCCCACACUGGCACUGAGAUACGGGCCAGACUCCUACGGGAGGCAGCAGUAGGGAAUAUUGGGCAAUGGACGGAAGUCUGACCCAGCCACGCCGCGUGCAGGAGGAAGGCGCUCUGCGUUGUAAACCGCUUUAGCAGGGGAAGAAAAGACUCAUGCGUGAGGAAUUGACGGUACCCUGAGAAUAAGCACCGGCUAACUACGUGCCAGCAGCCGCGGUAAAAGUAUCGUACG
This 497-nucleotide ribosomal RNA is filed under the name uncultured bacterium. RNAcentral describes it as "bacterial SSU rRNA". It matches the Rfam family "Bacterial small subunit ribosomal RNA", at positions 28 to 531 of the family's 1533-position model. The record is from RNAcentral.